RNAcentral lists this ribosomal RNA (1505 nucleotides) under metagenome. RNAcentral's name for it is "bacterial SSU rRNA". It matches the Rfam family "Bacterial small subunit ribosomal RNA". The record is from RNAcentral.
GUUUGAUCCUGGCUCAGAACGAACGCUGGCGGCAUGGUUAAGACAUGCAAGUCGAACGGACUUAAGAAUAGGGUAACCAACGCUUAAGUUAGUGGCGAAAGGGUGAGGAAUAGGUAGGUAACGUACCCAGAUCUCCGGGAUAGCGUCAGGUGCUUGCACCUUUCCGAAAGGGGCGGUAAUACCGGAUAAAGUCCUUAAAUUCAAGUUUAAGGACCAAAGAUUUAUCGGUUCUGGAGCGGCCUAUCUCCUAUCAGCUUGUUGGUGAGGUAAUGGCUCACCAAGGCUACGACGGGUAGCGGGACUGAGAGGUUGGCCCGCCACAUCGGGACUGAGACACUGCCCGGACCUCCACGGAGGGCUGCAGUAACGAAUAUUGGGCAAUGGGCGAAAGCCUGACCCAGCAAUGCCGCGUGUAGGACGAAGCCCUUCGGGGUGUAAACUAUUGUCAGGGGUUAGAAAGUCCUCGGAUUGAUCAACCCCAGAGGAAGUCACGGCUAACUUCGUGCCAGCAGCCGCGGUAAUACGAAGGUGGCAAGCGUUGUUCGGAAUCACUGGGCUUAAAGCGCGCGUAGGCGGAAAAGAAAGUGUCUUGUGAAAUCCCACGGCUUAACCGUGGAAUUGCUUGGCAAACUUCUUUUCUUGAGGCAGAUAGGGGUGAGUGGAACUCUUGGUGGAGCGGUGGAAUGCGUAGAUAUCAAGAGGAACGCCAAAGGAGAAGUCAGCUCACUGGAACUGUCCUGACGCUGAGGUGCGAAAGCGUGGGGAGCAAACAGGAUUAGAUACCCUGGUAGUCCACGCCGUAAACGAUGCCUACUAGGUUGCGGAGGUUCUGACACCUUCGCAGUCGGAGCAAAAGUGUUAAGUAGGCCGCCUGGGGAGUACGGUCGCAAGGCUAAAACUCAAAGGAAUUGACGGGGGCUCACACAAGCGGUGGAGCAUGUGGAUUAAUUCGAAACAACGCGCAGAACCUUACCUGGGUUUGACAUGCUUGGAUGCCUCCCCCGAAAGGGGGUUUGGCUGCCUUCGGGUAAAACUUGCACAGGUGCUGCAUGGCUGUCGUCGUCUCGUGUCGUGAGAUGUCGGGUUAAGUCCUUUAACGAGCGAAACCCCUGCCGUUAGUUGCCAGCGAGUCAUGUCGGGGACUCUAACGGGACUGCCGGUGUUAAACCGGAGGAAGGUGGGGAUGACGUCAAGUCCUCAUGGCCUUUAUGCCCAGGGCUUCACACGUGCUACAAUGGUCACUACAGAGCGACGCGAGACCGCGAGGUGGAGCAAAUCGCAAAAAAGUGGCCUCAGUUCGGAUUGCAGGCUGACAACUCGCCUGCAUGAAGUUGGAAUCGCUAGUAAUCGCGUAUCAGCGAUGACGCGGUGAAUGUGUUCCUGAGCCUUGUACACACCGCCCGUCAAGUGAUGGGAGCUGGGAGUACCCGAAGUCGGAUUGCUAACUUUCGAGAGGCGUCUGCCGACGGUAAGCUCGGUGACUGGCACUAAGUCGUAACAAGGUA